RNAcentral lists this long non-coding RNA (766 nucleotides) under Rattus norvegicus (Norway rat). Its description in RNAcentral is "long non-coding RNA NONRATT013618". The record is from RNAcentral. Lineage: Eukaryota; Metazoa; Chordata; Mammalia; Rodentia; Muridae.
UUAACCUACAACAGUCACUGAGAACCUAAUGAAGACAGGUUCUCAGGGUAUGGGCAAAUUGGCUUUUCUUCUGUCUAAUUCAAGAGCUGCUUGCCCUUUGAAACUCUCCAGGCCUUUACUGAGAGGCUUACUACCCUGUACAAAUAUCCCGCUGUAUGGAGGAUGGGACAUCCAUGUCUCUUCACAAGCUCCCCCAGAGCCCACACACCUUGGAUGUGGGAAGUUUCCAUUCGCUGAUCAGCCACUUAAGACUGGAACCGGCUCAGAGCCGAGAGAGUAUUUGAACACCCGGAAGAAGCAAAGAACGCUGUCCGGACUGCUGCAGACAACGGCGAGUGCAGAUGUGUUCAUCAGGACAAAUGCUGCUGCAGGCACUGGGGGUGGCUUAAAGGUUAAGAGGAUUUGCUGGACCGUCAGGAGGAGCAGAGUUUGGACCUGAGCACACUUGUGACAAGCUGGGCGUCCUGCACAUACCUGUAACCCAAACUCUUAAUGGCAGCAGAGACUGGAGGUGUAGAAGAGACUGCCUCAAAGAAAUAGUCAGGGAAGAGGAGGGAGGGACCCUCAACUCCCGCUUCAGGCCUCCGAGCGUGUGCAGAAACACUCACAGGCUCAUGUUUAUAUUCCCAGACACAAACAAACACGUGAAUAACUGGAUAAAUAUGUCAUAAGUAUGUACACCACAUGUCUGCCUGGUAAUCAGGAAGGUUAGAGGAGGAAUCAGAGCUCCUGGAACUGCAGUUAGACAGCCCAGCAGGUGCUGGGA